CUCCCCCAGAUUUCCGUGGACUCUGGAAAUACUUUUGCAGUUUCCUCUCCAAUCCAGAACAGCGCCUGGAAACCUGGACCAGGACCCGUUGAGAACCCUAAUCACUGGGAUAAGAUGAAAGACCAGAACUUCUUUUGGUAGAUUUACCUCCAGGCCAUCAGGAACACAAGCAAGUAAAAGACAAGUUUUGUCAGACCUAUGCUAACUUCACAAUAGAGAAGCAGCAGAACCCACAAAAAGACAGAGUGAAACAAAUUUCCA
Phascolarctos cinereus (koala) is the source of this 261-nucleotide non-coding RNA. The record is from RefSeq and is a predicted model, not a curated record. Lineage: Eukaryota; Metazoa; Chordata; Mammalia; Diprotodontia; Phascolarctidae.